RNAcentral lists this ribosomal RNA (1482 nucleotides) under uncultured bacterium. Its description in RNAcentral is "16S ribosomal RNA". It matches the Rfam family "Bacterial small subunit ribosomal RNA". The record is from RNAcentral.
GUUUGAUCCUGGCUCAGGAUGAACGCUAGCGGCAGGCUUAAUACAUGCAAGUCGAGGGGUAACAGGGGAGCUUGCUCCCGCUGACGACCGGCGCACGGGUGCGUAACACGUAUGCAACCUACCUUUAACAGGAGGAUAGCCCCGAGAAAUCGGAAUUAAUACUCCAUAACAUUAUAUAUUGGCAUCAAUAAAUGAUUAAAGCUCUGGCGGUUAAAGAUGGGCAUGCGGGACAUUAGUUAGUUGGUAAGGUAACGGCUUACCAAGACGAAGAUGUCUAGGGGAUCUGAGAGGAUAGUCCCCCACACUGGUACUGAGACACGGACCAGACUCCUACGGGAGGCAGCAGUAAGGAAUAUUGGUCAAUGGACGCAAGUCUGAACCAGCCAUGCCGCGUGCAGGAAGACAGCCUUAUGGGUUGUAAACUGCUUUUAUAUGGGAAAAAACCUUCGAACGAGUUCGGAGCUGAUUGUACUAUAGGAAUAAGGAUCGGCUAACUCCGUGCCAGCAGCCGCGGUAAUACGGAGGAUCCAAGCGUUAUCCGGAUUUAUUGGGUUUAAAGGGUGCGCAGGCGGGGCGAUAAGUCAGUGAUGAAUCCUACAGCUUAACUGUAGAACUGCCAUUGAAACUAUCGUUCUUGAGUACAGUUGAAGUGGGCGGAAUGUGUUAUGUAGCGGUGAAAUGCAUAGAUAUAACACAGAACACCGAUUGCGAAGGCAGCUCACUAAACUGCAACUGACGSUCAUGCACGAAAGCGUGGGGAGCAAACAGGAUUAGAUACCCUGGUAGUCCACGCCGUAAACGAUGAUUACUCGAUGUUGGCGAUACACAGUCAGCGUCCAAGCGAAAGURAUAAGUAAUCCACCUGGGGAGUACGAUCGCAAGGUUGAAACUCAAAGGAAUUGACGGGGGCCCGCACAAGCGGAGGAGCAUGUGGUUUAAUUCGAUGAUACGCGAGGAACCUUGCCUAGACUUAAAUGCAGACUGACCGCCUGGGAAACCGGGUUUCUUUCACGAGCAGUUUGCAAGGUGCUGCAUGGUUGUCGUCAAGCUCGUGCCGURAGGUGUCGGGUUAGUCCCAUAACGAGCGCAACCCCUAUCAUUAGUUGCCAUCRGGUAAAGCUGGGGACUCUAAUGAAACUGCCUACGCAAGUAGUGAGGAAGGUGGGGAUGACGUCAAAUCAGCACGGCCCUUAUGUCUAGGGCUACACACGUGCUACAAUGGUCGAUACAAAGGGUCGCUACCUGGUGACAGGAUGCUAAUCUCAAAAAUCGGUCUCAGUUCGGAUCGAAGUCUGCAACUCGACUUCGUGAAGUUGGAUUCGCUAGUAAUCGUAUAUCAGCAAUGAUACGGUGAAUACGUUCCCGGGCCUUGUACACACCGCCCGUCAAGCCAUGGGAGUUGGGGGUACCUGAAGUCAGUGACCGCAAGGAGCUGCCUAGGGUAAAAUCAAUGACUGGGGCUAAGUCGUAACAAGGUAGCCG